GGCGGCCUAGCUCAGCUGGCUAGAGCGUACGGUUCAUACCCGUAAGGUCGGGGGUUCGAUCCCCUCGGCCGCCAUCA
RNAcentral lists this transfer RNA (77 nucleotides) under Rummeliibacillus stabekisii. Its description in RNAcentral is "tRNA-Met". It matches the Rfam family "tRNA". From Rfam's summary of the family: Transfer RNA (tRNA) molecules are approximately 80 nucleotides in length. Their secondary structure includes four short double-helical elements and three loops (D, anti-codon, and T loops). The record is from RNAcentral. Lineage: Bacteria; Bacillati; Bacillota; Bacilli; Caryophanales; Caryophanaceae.